RNAcentral lists this microRNA precursor (111 nucleotides) under Anopheles dirus. The record is from RNAcentral. Lineage: Eukaryota; Metazoa; Arthropoda; Insecta; Diptera; Culicidae.
GGGUGCACUUGCGUUCAGUGGUUUUUGAUUCAGUUUUUGUUGACGGGUUUGCAUAAUUAGUAUUGACCCGUCAACAAAAACUGAAUCAAAAACCACUGAACGCAAGUGCAC